ACUGGCUUCCUGCUCAGUCCUGGCAGUUUGAGGGUUCAGUGUCUUAGCUGUUCCUAGACCUGCACUCAUCUGGACAGAGACCUCUUUGAUGUUGUGCCUGGAAUC
Long non-coding RNA from Thalassophryne amazonica, 105 nucleotides. RefSeq lists it as uncharacterized. The record is from RefSeq and is a predicted model, not a curated record. The transcript has 3 exons. NCBI's taxonomy places the organism in Eukaryota, Metazoa, Chordata, Actinopteri, Batrachoidiformes, Batrachoididae.